RNAcentral lists this ribosomal RNA (616 nucleotides) under uncultured Legionella sp. Its description in RNAcentral is "bacterial SSU rRNA". It matches the Rfam family "Bacterial small subunit ribosomal RNA", at positions 242 to 849 of the family's 1533-position model. Lineage: Bacteria; Pseudomonadati; Pseudomonadota; Gammaproteobacteria; Legionellales; Legionellaceae. The record is from RNAcentral.
UAGCUAGUUGGUGGGGUAAGGGCCUACCAAGGCGACGAUCGGUAGCUGGUCUGAGAGGAUGACCAGCCACACUGGAACUGAGACACGGUCCAGACUCCUACGGGAGGCAGCAGUGGGGAAUAUUGGACAAUGGGGGGAACCCUGAUCCAGCAAUGCCGCGUGUGUGAAGAAGGCCUGAGGGUUGUAAAGCACUUUCAGUGGGGAGGAGGGCUGAUAGGUUAAGAGCUAAUUAACUGGACGUUACCCACAGAAGAAGCACCGGCUAACUCCGUGCCAGCAGCCGCGGUAAUACGGAGGGUGCGAGCGUUAAUCGGAAUUACUGGGCGUAAAGCGUGCGUAGGUGGUUGAUUAAGUUAUCUGUGAAAUCCCUGGGCUUAACCUGGGCAGGUCAGAUGAUACUGGUUGACUCGAGUAUGGGAGAGGGUAGUGGAAUUUCCGGUGUAGCGGUGAAAUGCGUAGAGAUCGGAAGGAACACCAGUGGCGAAGGCGGCUACCUGGCCUAAUACUGACACUGAGGCACGAAAGCGUGGGGAGCAAACAGGAUUAGAUACCCUGGUAGUCCACGCUGUAAACGAUGUCAACUAGCUGUUGGUUAUAUGAAAAUAAUUAGUGGCGC